RNAcentral lists this ribosomal RNA (526 nucleotides) under Hynobius kimurae (Hida salamander). RNAcentral's name for it is "partial large subunit ribosomal RNA". It matches the Rfam family "Bacterial large subunit ribosomal RNA", at positions 1854 to 2592 of the family's 2925-position model. The record is from RNAcentral. Lineage: Eukaryota; Metazoa; Chordata; Amphibia; Caudata; Hynobiidae.
CUGCCUGCCCAGUGACACUAAGUUUAACGGCCGCGGUAUUAUGACCGUGCAAAGGUAGCGUAAUCACUUGUCUUUUAAAUAAAGACCAGUAUGAAUGGCAAGACGAAAGUUCAACUGUCUCCCUAAAUUAAUCAAUGAAAUUGAUUUUUUCGUGCAGAAGCGGAAAUAUAAUUAUAAGACGAGAAGACCCUAUGGAGCUUUAAACAUAUGAUCAUUGCGUAACAUAACCCAAAAUGAAAUAUUUAAUAAAACAUUAUGAUCAAAAUUUUAGGUUGGGGCGACCACGGAGAAAAACAAAACCUCCGAGAUGAAGAGAAUAUCUUAAUUCAAGAAUCACAAUUCUAAAAAAUAAAAUAUUUAACAUAAUUGAUCCAAUAUAUUGAUCAACGAACCAAGUUACCCUAGGGAUAACAGCGCAAUCCUCUCCAAGAGUCCCUAUCGACGAGCGGGUUUACGACCUCGAUGUUGGAUCAGGACACCCCAAUGGUGCAGCCGCUAUUAAAGGUUCGUUUGUUCAACGAUUAAA